GUGGGGAAUAUUGGACAAUGGGGGGAACCCUGAUCCAGCCAUGCCGCGUGUGUGAAGAAGGCCUUUUGGUUGUAAAGCACUUUAAGCGAGGAGGAGGCUACCGAGAUUAAUACUCUUGGAUAGUGGACGUUACUCGCAGAAUAAGCACCGGCUAACUCUGUGCCAGCAGCCGCGGUAAUACAGAGGGUGCAAGCGUUAAUCGGAUUUACUGGGCGUAAAGCGCGCGUAGGUGGCCAAUUUAGUCAAAUGUGAAAUCCCCGAGCUUAACUUGGGAAUUGCAUUCGAUACUGGUUGGCUAGAGUAUGGGAGAGGAUGGUAGAAUUCCAGGUGUAGCGGUGAAAUGCGUAGAGAUCUGGAGGAAUACCGAUGGCGAAGGCAGCCAUCUGGCCUAAUACUGACACUGAGGUGCGAAAGCAUGGGGAGCAAACAGGAUUAGAAACCCUGGUAGUCC
Molecule: ribosomal RNA, 451 nt
Filed under: uncultured bacterium
Lineage: Bacteria
Description: partial 16S ribosomal RNA
Rfam family: Bacterial small subunit ribosomal RNA
Source: RNAcentral